Molecule: non-coding RNA, 148 nt
Filed under: Nomascus leucogenys (northern white-cheeked gibbon)
Lineage: Eukaryota; Metazoa; Chordata; Mammalia; Primates; Hylobatidae
Source: Rfam by way of RNAcentral
GCUGGGCAUGGUGGCGCAUGCCUGUAGUCCCAGCUACUCUGGAGGCUGAGGCGGGAGAAUUGCUUGAACCCGGGAGGCAGAGGUUGCAGUGAGCCAAGAUCGCACCACUGCACUCCAGCCUGGGUGACAGAGCGAGACUCCAUCUCAA